Molecule: ribosomal RNA, 439 nt
Filed under: uncultured bacterium
Lineage: Bacteria
Description: partial 16S ribosomal RNA
Rfam family: Bacterial small subunit ribosomal RNA
Source: RNAcentral
CUACGGGGGGCUCCAGUGAGGAAUAUUGCACAAUGGGGGGAACCCUGAUGCAGCAACGCCGCGUGGAGGAUGACGCAUUUCGGUGUGUAAACUCCUUUUAUAUGUCAAGAAAAUGACGGUAGCAUAUGAAUAAGCGCCGGCUAACUCCGUGCCAGCAGCCGCGGUAAUACGGAGGGCGCAAGCGUUACUCGGAAUCACUGGGCGUAAAGGACGCGUAGGCGGGUUGAAAAGUCAGGUGUGAAAGCCUACAGCUUAACUGUAGAACUGCACUUGAAACUCUCAACCUAGAGUAUGGGAGGGGCAGAUGGAAUUAGUGGUGUAGGGGUAAAAUCCGUAGAUAUCACUAGGAAUACCUAAAGCGAAGGCGAUCUACUGGAACAUUACUGACGCUAAGGCGUGAAAGCGUGGGGAGCAAACAGGAUUAGAUACCCCCGUAGUC